Molecule: small RNA, 498 nt
Filed under: Pan troglodytes (chimpanzee)
Lineage: Eukaryota; Metazoa; Chordata; Mammalia; Primates; Hominidae
Description: processed transcript
Source: RNAcentral
GGCUGAUCACCUUCUCCACAAGGAACAACCUCACCACAUACAAGUCUGAGAUCAAAUACUCCUGUCAGGAGCCCUAUUACAAGAUGCUCAACAAUAACACAGGUAUAUAUACCUGUUCUGCCCAAGGAGUCUGGAUGAAUAAAGUACUGGGGAGAAGCCUACCCACCUGCCUUCCAGUGUGUGGGCUCCCCAAGUUCUCCCGGAAGCUAAUGGCCAGGAUCUUCAAUGGACGCCCAGCCCAGAAAGGCACCACUCCCUGGAUUGCCAUGCUGUCACACCUGAAUGGGCAGCCCUUCUGCGGAGGCUCCCUUCUAGGCUCCAGCUGGAUUGUGACCGCCGCACACUGCCUCCACCAGUCGCUCGAUCCGGAAGAUCCGACCCUACAUGACUCAGACUUGCUCAGCCCUUCUGACUUCAAAAUCAUCCUGGGGCAGGACACCUGGGAUGGAGGUCCAGGAACCUGAGUCCAAGUGCAAGAUAUGAUUCUCCAGACACGUG